CUGAAAAGACAGAAGCUCUGAGAACAAGCACAGAAAACGGAAAUGGUGUGCCCCUCAUUGUGAUAAAAUACCGGGACAAGACAACAACAUAAGGAAGAGUUUACUUGAGCUCCCAGUUGAAGGUACAGCCCGUCACAGCUGGGAUGUGGCGACAGCAGGAACUUGAAGCCGCUGCUCUCAUCUCAUCCACAGUAGAAGCCAGCAAUGGACGCAGCUGCUCCUCGACCCCUCUCUCCAUUUAUCCAGCCCAGGGAAUGUCCCACAAUUAAGAUGGGCCUUCCCACUUGAAUUAUCGUCAUCGAGAGAACCCCUCAGAGUCACGCUCAGAGGCCCAGAGUGUGUAGCCAGCUGUUUGUAUUCCUCCAGUUCCCUGAUUAAAUCCCCCUGAUCUGGAGA
RNAcentral lists this long non-coding RNA (396 nucleotides) under Mus musculus (house mouse). RNAcentral's name for it is "predicted gene, 48072". Lineage: Eukaryota; Metazoa; Chordata; Mammalia; Rodentia; Muridae. The record is from RNAcentral.